GAGACGCUGGCGGCGUGCCUAAUACAUGCAAGUCGAACGAACUCUGGUAUUGAUUGGUGCUUGCAUCAUGAUUUACAUUUGAGUGAGUGGCGAACUGGUGAGUAACACGUGGGAAACCUGCCCAGAAGCGGGGGAUAACACCUGGAAACAGAUGCUAAUACCGCAUAACAACUUGGACCGCAUGGUCCGAGUUUGAAAGAUGGCUUCGGCUAUCACUUUUGGAUGGUCCCGCGGCGUAUUAGCUAGAUGGUGGGGUAACGGCUCACCAUGGCAAUGAUACGUAGCCGACCUGAGAGGGUAAUCGGCCACAUUGGGACUGAGACACGGCCCAAACUCCUACGGGAGGCAGCAGUAGGGAAUCUUCCACAAUGGACGAAAGUCUGAUGGAGCAACGCCGCGUGAGUGAAGAAGGGUUUCGGCUCGUAAAACUCUGUUGUUAAAGAAGAACAUAUCUGAGGAGUAACUGUUCAGGUAUUGACGGUAUUUAACCAGAAAGCCACGGCUAACUACGUGCCAGCAGCCGCGGUAAUACGUAGGUGGCAAGCGUUGUCCGGGAUUUAUUGGGGCGUAAAGCGAGCGCAGGCGGGUUUUUUAAGUCUGAUGUGAAAGCCUUCGGCUCAACCGAAGAAGUGCAUCGGAAACUGGGAAACUUGAGUGCAGAAGAGGACAGUGGAACUCCAUGUGUAGCGGUGAAAUGCGUAGAUAUAUGGAAGAACACCAGUGGCGAAGGCGGCUGUCUGGUCUGUAACUGACGCUGAGGCUCGAAAGUAUGGGUAGCAAACAGGAUUAGAUACCCUGGUAGUCCAUACCGUAAACGAUGAAUGCUAAGUGUUGGAGGGUUUCCCGCCCUUCAGUGCUGCAGCUAACGCAUUAAGCAUUCCGCCUGGGGAGUACGGCCGCAAGGCUGAAACUCAAAGGAAUUGACGGGGGCCCGCACAAGCGGUGGAGCAUGUGGUUUAAUUCGAAGCUACGCGAAGAACCUUACCAGGUCUUGACAUACUAUGCAAAUCUAAGAGAUUAGACGUUCCCUUCGGGGACAUGGAUACAGGUGGUGCAUGGUUGUCGUCAGCUCGUGUCGUGAGAUGUUGGGUUAAGUCCCGCAACGAGCGCAACCCUUAUUAUCAGUUGCCAGCAUUAAGUUGGGCACUCUGGUGAGACUGCCGGUGACAAACCGGAGGAAGGUGGGGAUGACGUCAAAUCAUCAUGCCCCUUAUGACCUGGGCUACACACGUGCUACAAUGGAUGGUACAACGAGUUGCGAACUCGCGAGAGUAAGCUAAUCUCUUAAAGCCAUUCUCAGUUCGGAUUGUAGGCUGCAACUCGCCUACAUGAAGUCGGAAUCGCUAGUAAUCGCGGAUCAGCAUGCCGCGGUGAAUACGUUCCCGGGCCUUGUACACACCGCCCGUCACACCAUGAGAGUUUGUAACACCCAAAGUCGGUGGGGUAACCUUUUAGGAACCAGCCGCCUAAGGUGGGACAGAUGAUUAGGGAGUCGAC
RNAcentral lists this ribosomal RNA (1497 nucleotides) under Lactiplantibacillus pentosus. Its description in RNAcentral is "bacterial SSU rRNA". It matches the Rfam family "Bacterial small subunit ribosomal RNA". Lineage: Bacteria; Bacillati; Bacillota; Bacilli; Lactobacillales; Lactobacillaceae. The record is from RNAcentral.